Neodiprion virginianus is the source of this 754-nucleotide long non-coding RNA. RefSeq lists it as uncharacterized. The transcript is spliced from 3 exons. NCBI's taxonomy places the organism in Eukaryota, Metazoa, Arthropoda, Insecta, Hymenoptera, Diprionidae. The record is from RefSeq and is a predicted model, not a curated record.
UUUUUCUUGAGGAGCGUACUUCAGUCUGUUAUUUAUGACGAUUCGUGAGUUCUCUGCUGCCGGACGAUAUUUUUGAAGAGUAUUCAUCCAAGAUGUAAAAUUACGAGAGCGACAGUCCGAGUCAGUGAUCGAAGUUGUUUGCUCGCCGCGGUGGCGAGUAUAUUGAACCGACACAUUGCAAAAUACUCGAGGAAGGAUCCCCUAGCUGCAAGUUGUAGAGGCAAAUAUUGAUGGAACCAGAGAACCAGGCCCUAUUUGUAACUCGGGAUAUCCAGCGGGAGGGAAAGUCCGCUCCUUUGUGUGUUCUUGGUGUAACUAAUACAACGGCUACCGAACAUCGGGGGCAUAAUGUUGGCGCGUUUAUGCGUGCCUUAGGAGUACCUGGAAGGUACGUUCAACGGGUGUCCGUUCCUUGAAAGGGCAUUAGACGACCUCGCGAGGGUGGUAAUGGCACGUAGCAACCGGACAAUGGACCGAAACUCUCCACGGAAAGCUCAACUAUGUAUGCCGGUUCGAAUAGAAUAGGGGCGGGGUUUAAGUUCCGAAUUUGAAAAGUUCCGAAAGCGCCUAAAUCCGAAUUACUUGGUGGUGAAACUUGACCUAAAGAAAUCAAACUUUUACCAAACAACAAAGUUUCGAACGGCCGAAGCCCGAUGGUUCAAAGUUUCGAAAUGCAAGAUUCCGAAAAUUCAAGUUACGGUAGAGCAAAGUUUUGAUAGGGUGAAAUUCCGAAAAUUAAAAUAUACUUACACAG